UAUCCAUUGUGAUUACAGGUGGGAAAUAGUUUUAAAGGAAAAGUACAUCUGUGAAACAACUUCUGCAUCUUUCAAACCUGAAAAUGACUUUUACAAUUUAAAUGGAGCACAGUCUUUGGAUGACAUCGAUUGUCUGUUAGUAACUCCUGGAAAUUCAAUGGUGAUAUCAAAGGCUUUUGGUCUGACAAAGGACAAUAGAUCUCUGGCACCACGACCACACCAUCAUCCUCUGUGACAAUAGCCGUUUCUCAAUAUGCGUUCUUGUCUGUACUUGCGUUCUUGUGGACUUGUGAAACGUCAUCAGCCGCGGCCCAAGUACUGUUCCAAUUCAAAGUUCACAUCAAGCCAAGUUCACAUUAAAUCCCCGGAUGUGUUCUUGCUCCGCCCCUUUUAUCGAGGAUGCAUCGGGAGGAGACUUGUGCGGACUUGUUACGUCCCAUAACCCAGAAUUCAGUUCGCUACUUCGCGUCAACCGACAACAAUCUGCAAUGGCGGCAGCGGAGGAGAAAGCUCACAAUUGGACUGCUGAGGAAACUAAAAUCCUUAUAGAGUGGCGGGCAGCCAAUGAAACUGUUUUUACAGGGAGGCGCAACUCCUCAAAAAGUGGAUGGGAGCACUUUGUUUCCACUUCUGGUUUGGCCAUAAGUGCCAAACAAGCCAAAAAGAAAUGGAACAAUUUAAAAGACAAAUACAAGGUAAACUGCUCAUUCUGGAACAAGUAUAGUUUACCUCAAAAUAACAAUUCUGUCAUUUACUCACCCUUAAGUUGUUCUAAGUUUUUCUGUUUGGCUCUACACACAGGAAAAAAAUUACUACAAAGUCGUAGUUCACUGACAACCUGGGCCAUAUCGCAUCCAUAUCACAGGCGAUACGUCCACGAUAAUUAAUGCGAAAUUGCCCCGGUUGUCAGUGAACUACAGCUUUGUGUAGCAAAAGCCGCUCCAUCUGAAAAGCAGGUGAUGGCGAUUUAUUACUUGUCAUGGGACCGGCUUUACUGACGAGAUGCUCAAUGACAAUCACAUGCAAAUUAUCACGGAUCCCUAGUACAUGCCAGUUUUUACUUUAUUUCAGGAGCUUAGGGAUCCACCCACAGGGAAAGGGGUAGAGGCUGGUAGUGUUACUGCAGCCACCUGGCAGUGGUACACAGCAAUGGAUGCUGCACUAAAUGCGCAGCACUCCAUUGCUCCACCCCUGGUUGUGGCAUCAAACCUGUGUGCCACUACAGGUGGCUCAGUGAGUACACCAGCCUCUACCUCUUCUGAGGAAGAAAGAAGCAGCCAGCCACUAGCAAGAAAAAGGCAGAGAGGCAGCGAGGCUCUUCUCGAUUUUUUGAAAGAGCAGGCAGAGAGGGAAGAAGAGAGGGAGAGACGAGCGGUGGAGAGAGAAGAGGAGAGAGAGAGGGCAGCAACAGCCAGAGCAGAAAGAUACUUGUCUUUGUUUGAGAGUCUUGUUAAUAAGUUUUGAAUAAAAUGUGUUUUUUAAUAAAUUUAGUUAAUGUUUUAAAUGUAUAAAUAUGAUUUACAUAAAAUAAAUGAUUUGAAUUCAACCUAGGCAAUGCAUUCUUGUGGUAACAAAUAUUCCUUAUAUUUACAACAAUCCAAAAAUAAUAUAAUAUAAAAUAAAAUCAAGUGUCUUGCAAUUUUAUACAAUUAUUUAAGUAAUUGAAACUUCAUUAGGAAGAACACAACACAAAUAUCUGUCUACUUACCUAUGUUUACAUAUAAAUAGUAACACAUCUAAUGUUUCAAUUACUAAACUGUUUUAUGUUCAUCUUUUAGUGAACAUGUCAACGCAUGGAUAGGUUUACUGUCUAGAUGUAAUCAUGUUCAUUCAGACACCCAGGCAGUUCAUCAGGACAGGAAAGCUGAGCAGCAAGACGUCCUCGCAGAUUGUUCCCUGAUGGGUCCCUCUCAUCCACUGCUGCAUUGUCCAUGUCAUCCUCGCUGUCAUCCUGUCCACGGUUUUCAUCCUCCUCCAUGAGAUCACCUCCCAUCACACAAAUGUUGUGGAGAAUGCAACAGGCACCAAUCACCUUUGGGGUGAACAGUGGCCUGAUCUCCAGGGCCCUCAAAAAAAUUGCACGCCAGCGUGUCUUCAGCAUCCCAAAGUUACGCUCGAUAAUGUUUCUGGCUCGUGCAUGGUGCCUGUUGUAUCGGGCUUCAACUUGGCCUGUUAAUGAAAAGUCGUAAAGUCAAAACAAAUUUGCUGUAUAUUGAUAUUCUGUGUAUGUGUGAUUGUGUGUUUUUUUUACUUGCAACAGGCUGUCGGUAUGGAGUCAUGAUAGCAAUAGGAUACUGCAGGCAUGGGUAUCCACCAUCUCCCAAGAGACAGUAUCCAGCAGGAGGAUACAGAGCCUGCUGGUACAUUGGUGAUCUGCGCAAUACGAGGGCAUCAUGUACAGAUCCGGGAUUUCCAAUAUACACAUCUAUAAAUGCACCCCUGGAAUCACAGGUACCCUGUAGUAUGAUUGAUGGGAAAAGCUUUCUGUUUAUGUAGCACUUUUUUUGUGGCUCUGCAGGAGGAACAAUCCGGAUGUGGCACCCAUCGAUGGCACCUGCAGCACAGCGGAAUGCCUCAUGGCCAGCAAGGCGAGCAAACCCGGCACCCACCUCCUCCAUUUCCUCUGGUUUAGGAAAAUGAAUAACUCGGUGGAGGAUGGUCAUCAUCUCCUCCACAACGCUGUGAACAGUCCUACAAACCGUCGCAAGUGGCAUGCUAAAGGUGUCUGAAGUGACCCUGUAAGAUGCUCCACAAGCAAGCCAAUAGACUGUGACCAGCACUUCAAUUUCAUGGCUCCACCCAUGGGCUUUUUGGCGUGGCAGCAUUUGGACCAAAGCAUUAAUGCUGUUUCUAGAGACUCUGAAUGCUGGCUUUAGAUUCUCUCCAGAAAAAAACUUGACCAGGAUAGGUACCUGGUUGUUGAUCCUACAAUACUUUUGGAUGGGAGUUUGGUCCUGUUAAAAUAUGAAUAAUCUAUGAAUUGAAUUAUUUAUUGCUUUUUAUUUUUGUGUGUAUUUGAUGUAUUUAUCCAGUAUUCAUUAAAUUGUGUUCUGCAGAAAUUGCCAUGCAAUGUUUGUUGAUCUGUUUGGUGAGGUGUUUAAUAAUAGUUAAUUUGUUUCAUUCAUUAAGCACUACAACAAGGGUUUCCCAAGUUGUAGCUUGUAUGAUUUUUCUAAAUAUAAAAUGUCCCGUUUGUGUUAAUGCAGUAAUAUGGUAAAUUUGGGCUUAUUCAUUUCAAUAUUAUUCUAAUGUAGUCUCAUAGGACAUCCUUGCAAUGGAUCCCACUACAAUUUUUGUGAUUUAGUAUUUAAUUUGGUGUGUUCAUAAGAUGCUUGUGUGACAUGAAAGA
Non-coding RNA from Misgurnus anguillicaudatus (oriental weatherfish), 3349 nucleotides. NCBI's taxonomy places the organism in Eukaryota, Metazoa, Chordata, Actinopteri, Cypriniformes, Cobitidae. The record is from RefSeq and is a predicted model, not a curated record.